This is a long non-coding RNA of Hibiscus syriacus, 173 nucleotides long. RefSeq lists it as uncharacterized. The record is from RefSeq and is a predicted model, not a curated record. The transcript is spliced from 4 exons. Lineage: Eukaryota; Viridiplantae; Streptophyta; Magnoliopsida; Malvales; Malvaceae.
CUUGCCUCCAAAGGACAAGCAGUCAUCUCAUCUGUCAUGUUUUCGAGGGCGUUAAGCUCUCUGGUUCUGAGAACAACUCUGGGCACCUUUAUCGCUACCUUAGUCAGUGGUGCGGUGGUGGCAUUCUACACAUACAAGCUUCUACCAAAUGACAAGCCCGGCUUAAAACCUGG